AUUGAACGCUGGCGGCAUGCCUUACACAUGCAAGUCGAACGGUAACAGGUCUUCGGAUGCUGACGAGUGGCGAACGGGUGAGUAAUACAUCGGAAAGUGCCCGAUCGUGGGGGAUAACGAGGCGAAAGCUUUGCUAAUACCGCAAACGAUCUACGGAUGAAAGCGGGGGAUCUACGGACCUCGCGCGGACGGAGCGGCCGAUGGCAGAUUAGGUAGUUGGUGGGAUAAAAGCUUACCAAGCCGACGAUCUGUAGCUGGUCUGAGAGGAUGAUCAGCCACACUGGGACUGAGACACGGCCCAGACUCCUACGGGAGGCAGCAGUGGGGAAUUUUGGACAAUGGGCGAAAGCCUGAUCCAGCCAUGCCGCGUGCAGGAUGAAGGCCUUCGGGUUGUAAACUGCUUUUGUACGGAACGAAAAGCCUCUUUCUAAUAAAGAGGGGUCAUGACGGUACCGUAAGAAUAAGCACCGGCUAACUACGUG
RNAcentral lists this ribosomal RNA (482 nucleotides) under uncultured bacterium. RNAcentral describes it as "partial 16S ribosomal RNA". It matches the Rfam family "Bacterial small subunit ribosomal RNA", at positions 30 to 507 of the family's 1533-position model. The record is from RNAcentral.